This 406-nucleotide ribosomal RNA is filed under the name uncultured bacterium. RNAcentral describes it as "bacterial SSU rRNA". It matches the Rfam family "Bacterial small subunit ribosomal RNA", at positions 354 to 776 of the family's 1533-position model. The record is from RNAcentral.
GCAGGGAAUCUUGCGCAAUGGGCGAAAGCCUGACGCAGCGACGCCGCGUGGGGGAUGAAGGCCUUCGGGUUGUAAACCCCUUUUCUAGGGGAAGAGUAAGGACGGUACCUUAGGAAUAAGCCCCGGCUAACUACGUGCCAGCAGCCGCGGUAAUACGUAGGGGGCAAGCGUUGUCCGGAUUUACUGGGCGUAAAGGGCGAGUAGGCGGUUCAGUAACUCUUCGGUGAAAUCUCCUGGCUUAACUAGGAGGGGUCCGGGGAAAGUGCUGGACUAGAGGGGCGCAGAGGAGAGCGGAAUUCCCGGUGUAGCGGUGAUAUGCGUAGAUAUCGGGAGGAACACCAGUGGCGAAGGCGGCUCUCUGGGCGUCUCCUGACGCUGAGGCGCGAAAGCACGGGGAGCAAACAGG